AACGAACGCUGGCGGCAUGCCUAACACAUGCAAGUCGAACGAGACCUUCGGGUCUAGUGGCGCACGGGUGCGUAACGCGUGGGAAUCUGCCCUUGGGUUCGGAAUAACAGUGAGAAAUUACUGCUAAUACCGGAUGAUGUCUUCGGACCAAAGAUUUAUCGCCCAGGGAUGAGCCCGCGUAGGAUUAGCUAGUUGGUGGGGUAAUGGCCUACCAAGGCGACGAUCCUUAGCUGGUCUGAGAGGAUGAUCAGCCACACUGGGACUGAGACACGGCCCAGACUCCUACGGGGGGCAGCAGUGGGGAAUAUUGGACAAUGGGCGCAAGCCUGAUCCAGCAAUGCCGCGUGAGUGAUGAAGGCCUUAGGGUUGUAAAGCUCUUUUACCCGGGAUGAUAAUGACAGUACCGGGAGAAUAAGCUCCGGCUAACUCCGUG
This 433-nucleotide ribosomal RNA is filed under the name uncultured bacterium. Its description in RNAcentral is "partial 16S ribosomal RNA". It matches the Rfam family "Bacterial small subunit ribosomal RNA", at positions 29 to 507 of the family's 1533-position model. The record is from RNAcentral.